UUCAUUUCCUCUGCUGCUGAUCGUUAGACCAGUUGCUGGAAUCGUGUUUAUUUUACUGAUCUUACUUUGUUGGUACAGAAGGUCUAAAGGUUUUUCUACAGAGCAGACGGUCAACCAGUAUGAAAAUCAGCAGCAAGUUUACUCCUCUCUCCUCCACGGAGACAUUUCUGUCUAUGAAAGAAUCAGACGCUCUGAAAACUCUCCAGAUGGUACAGUAUGAACUUUAAG
Molecule: long non-coding RNA, 228 nt
Organism: Melanotaenia boesemani (Boeseman's rainbowfish)
Lineage: Eukaryota; Metazoa; Chordata; Actinopteri; Atheriniformes; Melanotaeniidae
Exons: 3
Source: RefSeq, a predicted model, not a curated record